This 253-nucleotide ribosomal RNA is filed under the name uncultured bacterium. RNAcentral's name for it is "partial 16S ribosomal RNA". It matches the Rfam family "Bacterial small subunit ribosomal RNA", at positions 524 to 776 of the family's 1533-position model. The record is from RNAcentral.
UACGUAGGAGGCAAGCGUUAUCCGGAAUGACUGGGCGUAAAGGGUGCGUAGGUGGUUUGGCAAGUUAGUAGCGUAACCCCGGGGCUCAACCUCGGAACUACUACUAAAACUGUCGGACUUGAGUGCAGGAGGGGCAAUUGGAAUUCCUAGUGUAGCGGUGGAAUGCGUAGAUAUUAGGAGGAACACCAGUGGCGAAGGCGAAUUGCUGGACUGUAACUGACACUGAGGCACGAAAGCGUGGGGAGCAAACAGG